RNAcentral lists this long non-coding RNA (750 nucleotides) under Oncorhynchus kisutch (coho salmon). Its description in RNAcentral is "lncRNA (ENSOKIG00005029130.1)". Lineage: Eukaryota; Metazoa; Chordata; Actinopteri; Salmoniformes; Salmonidae. The record is from RNAcentral.
AUAUCAUAUUCCCCUCUAUCAGAUCUAUUAUAUAUCAUAUUUAUUAUAUAUCAUAUUACCCUCUAUCAUAUUCCCCUCUAUCAGAUCUAUUAUAUAUCAUAUUUAUUAUAUAUCAUAUUCCCCUCUAUCAUAUUUAUUAUAUAUCAUAUUUAUUAUAUAUCAUAUUUAUUAUAUAUCAUAUUCCCCUCUAUCAUAUUUAUUAUAUAUCAUAUUUAUUAUAUAUCAUAUUACCCUCUAUCAUAUUCCCCUCUAUCAUAUUCCAUUCGAUUAUAUUCCCCUCUAUCAUAUUCCCUUAAUCAUAUUCCCUUCUAUCAUAAUCCUCUCUUUCAUAUUCCUCUCUAUCAUAUUCACUCUAUCAUAUUCCCUCUGUCAUAUUCCACUCUAUCAUAUUCCCUCUAUCAUAUGACUCUAUAUCAUAUUCCCCUCUAUAAUAUUCCCCUCAUAUUCCUCUGUCAUAUUCCUCUCUAUUGUAAUCCUCUAUCAUAUUCCUCUAUUUCAUACUCCCUUUGUCAUAUUUCCCUCUAUGAUGUGCCUCAUUCAUAUUCCCUCUAUCAUAUUCCCCUCUUAUUACAUUCCUCUAUUACAUUCCUCUAUAUCAUAUUCCUCUAUUUCAUACUCCCUUGGUCAUAUUCCCCUCUAUCAUGUGCCUCUAUCAUAUUCCCUCUAUCGUAUGACUCUAUAUCAUAUUCCACUCUAGCAUUUUCAUCUGUAUCAUCAUCCCUCUAUCAUCUUCCCUUUAUCAUAUUUCCC